Long non-coding RNA from Lotus japonicus, 369 nucleotides. RefSeq lists it as uncharacterized. The record is from RefSeq and is a predicted model, not a curated record. Lineage: Eukaryota; Viridiplantae; Streptophyta; Magnoliopsida; Fabales; Fabaceae. The transcript has 2 exons.
UAGAAAGAGAGAAAUCAGAAUUUGAGAAUUGGAGAAGUUAGCAGAGGAGAAGAAAAGAAGCGUGAAAGAGAGAAGGGGAGAAAAGAGAAGAAAAAACCUAGAAUUUGAUCUUCAAGAGGUACAGGAGGUAGAGAUGUGGCUCAUGAGGAGUAGCUUCGGAGAGUCUUAGCUUAUGUUAUUAUUAUUAUUAUUAUAAAAUAAGUGUCUUGCUCUGUAAUGUAACACUGGUUAGAUAUUUUACGUUACUUUUACAUUUAUGUUGAGAGGAUUUUAUAAUCUCUUCUUAUGGAAGUUGUUGAAUAAUUUUCUAAAUGAUGGCGAUGUCGUACUGUUGACGGCCGAAGUGCUUAUGAAAUUCAGUUCUGAGUA